This 501-nucleotide ribosomal RNA is filed under the name uncultured bacterium. Its description in RNAcentral is "partial 16S ribosomal RNA". It matches the Rfam family "Bacterial small subunit ribosomal RNA", at positions 29 to 523 of the family's 1533-position model. The record is from RNAcentral.
AUUGAACGCUGGCGGCAUGCCUUACACAUGCAAGUCGAACGGCAGCACGGGUGCUUGCACCUGGUGGCGAGUGGCGAACGGGUGAGUAAUACAUCGGAACGUACCUUAUCGUGGGGGAUAACGCAGCGAAAGCUGUGCUAAUACCGCAUACGCCUUGAGGGGGAAAGCGGGGGAUCGAAAGACCUGCGGCGAUUAAAGGGGCCGAUGCCUGAUUAGCUUGUUGGUGGGGUAAAAGCCCACCAAGGCGACGAUCAGUAGCUGGUCUGAGAGGACGAUCAGCCACACUGGGACUGAGACACGGCCCAGACUCCUACGGGAGGCAGCAGUGGGGAAUUUUGGACAAUGGGGGCAACCCUGAUCCAGCAAUGCCGCGUGAGUGAAGAAGGCCUUCGGGUUGUAAAGCUCUUUUGUCAGGGAAGAAACACCGGCUCUAACACAGUCCGGGAAUGACGGUACCUGAAGAAUAAGCACCGGCUAACUACGUGCCAGCAGCCGCCGUAA